Molecule: long non-coding RNA, 282 nt
Organism: Rana temporaria (common frog)
Lineage: Eukaryota; Metazoa; Chordata; Amphibia; Anura; Ranidae
Exons: 2
Source: RefSeq, a predicted model, not a curated record
UUUGUAACGACGUGUGUUUUUUACAUAUUUCACUUUGUUUUUCAGCUUUCAACUGGAGGAAAAUUGGUUUUAAGGUUUAAAGGAUUGUGAAGACCUUCAAUAAAAGUACAAAAGCACUGCACUGACCUUUCCGGCCUGAGACCAAUCUUGCCCAACAGUGGUGUUUGGAACUCAUCAGCUCAAAGAUUAGUGUAGUGCACUGGCACUGUGCCCCUAACAUCGAUUGGACAAGAUGGGCUUCUGUUUACAAUAAUGUAGUUAAAUAAAAAUGUUUUGAUAAAA